RNAcentral lists this ribosomal RNA (429 nucleotides) under Acidobacteriota bacterium. RNAcentral's name for it is "Acidobacteria bacterium partial 16S ribosomal RNA". It matches the Rfam family "Bacterial small subunit ribosomal RNA", at positions 355 to 776 of the family's 1533-position model. The record is from RNAcentral. Lineage: Bacteria; Pseudomonadati; Acidobacteriota.
UGGGGAAUUUUGGACAAUGGGGGAAACCCUGAUCCAGCCAUCCCGCGUGUGCGAUGAAGGCCUUCGGGUUGUAAAGCACUUUUGGCAGGAAAGAAACGCCAUGGGUUAAUACCCCGUGAAACUGACGGUACCUGCAGAAUAAGCACCGGCUAACGACGUGCCAGCAGCCGCGGUAAUACGUAGGGUGCAAGCGUUAAUCGGAAUUACUGGGCGUAAAGCGUGCGCAGGCGGUUCGGAAAGAAAGAUGUGAAAUCCCAGAGCUCAACUUUGGAACUCCAUUUUUAACUACCGGGCUAGAGUGUGUCAGAGGGAGGUGGAAUUCCGCGUGUAGCAGUGAAAUGCGUAGAUAUGCGGAGGAACACCGAUGGCGAAGGCAGCCUCCUGGGAUAACACUGACGCUCAUGCACGAAAGCGUGGGGAGCAAACAGG